Molecule: long non-coding RNA, 1725 nt
Organism: Cyprinus carpio carpio
Lineage: Eukaryota; Metazoa; Chordata; Actinopteri; Cypriniformes; Cyprinidae
Source: Ensembl
AUGGAGGUCAUUCCCCUGUCAGUGGCGCUUCCAGUAAUGGGAGCCAUCAUUUUGUGUGUGUGGGCUGUACACAGAGCCAUUACUCCUCCAGAGACUGCAAAGUCCACCCCAGGACUUCCUGUCUACCCAGAAACAACUAAGGAGCUCAUCCUCAGUGUGAGGUAUCUUUUAUGUGGAUUCGCCGCGGGACUUCCAGUCUCCAGCUACAUCAGGGUUGGAGGAUCCCCGGUCUCCAACUCCAACCUCCGAGCCCUGGUCUCCACCUCAGCCCGUAGAUCCAUUGGCUCCACCUUGGCUCUUAGCUCCCUCAUCUCCACCGUGGCCCGUCAUCCCACCAGCUCCGCCAGGCUCCUUCACCCUUCAGCUCUGACGUGGUCAGUCAUCCACUGCCUUCACCUCAGGACUACACUCCUCUGGCUUCACCUCAUCCCUUCAUCCCUCUGGCUCCAUUGGGCUCCUCCCUCCCUCCGGCUCCACCUUGGUCCUCUGUCGCUCCAGAUCCACCGUGGUCUUCUGGAUCCCCGCCUCGGUUGCCAGAGCCAUCGGCUCUGCCCUGGCCCUCUGGAUCCUCAGUGUCAACUUGGUUCUGCGGCUCUCCGUCUCUGUCCUGGGGUCCUGCUCUGCCUCCGUCAGUCAGCCCACUGGUCUUGUCAGCCCUUCCUCCACCAUGGCUCCUCCUUCCAUUGGCUCCACCGUGGGCCGCCAUCCUGGCUGCAGCCUGGGUCUUGCCUGCAUCCUCCUUGGUUCCUCCCUCUGUGUGCUCCACCUUGGACUGUGUUUGUCGUCCUCCUCCAGUUUUUUGCUCCCGAUUGUCGGGCUGUCUGCCCUUCGCUAUCCGUUUCUGCCUAAAAUCUAAUUUUAACAAUUUGAAUGUUUGUCUUCAUAAUUAUAUCCAGACUGAAAAAUGUUUAUUCAUGUCCUAUGUAUGGAUUGCAUUUUAAUGAAAAAAUAUAUGUAUAACAAAACUGUUUGAGAACCACUGAAUGAAUGCAAGUGCAAACCAAGUGCAUUUACUGAACAGAUAACAAUCCUGCAACUAGACUUUCAAAGCCAGGAAAUAUUACCAUACUAAUAAAUGUAAACUGAAUGUGGCAAAUGCAACCUAUUGUUGCAUCUCUCUACAAUAAAUGCCAAUGCAUCCUGUUGGUGUGAGAGUGAUGUAUUAUAUAUUCCACCUUGCCCCUCUCUGGUUUUGCAUACUUUUACAUACAGCUUCAUCACAAAAAUUAGACACUUGCAUAUCUGCAUACAGAUCGAUUUGAUGAGUCCAUUGAGCAACAAAUGUCUCAACUCUAUAAAAUAUGCUAAUAUUAUGCAAAUUAGACAGUUAGGGGCUGUUUUGCUACCACAGACUUAUUGUAAACUAUUAGACGGUCCUCAAAAAACAAGGUAAUGGUCAUCUAGAAGAGGAGAGGAGAGAAAAUAAGGCUAAAGUUGGAGAGUUUCCGAUUCCAAGUGCAAGAACAACCCCUAAGGAAGCCAUUGUAGAUCAGUGAGCUGUGCCACAGAGUCAUCUUAAAUGAAAACAAAGUGAAUUAUCUCAACCUUGGAGUCGCAAUGAUGCCAGACCAUCUCUUGAGCUCUAUUGAUCUAUUGGCUGUCACACACUGGCCUCUGAGGUACUUUCAUUACAGUAAACGCUGCAUCCUAGCUUAUCUACUGCCAUUUUCCCACUCACCAUCAUUUCAUUGUUUUGCCAAGCUUUGGCUGUAACAGAAAACUGAC